UUGAUGUAUAUUACAGCAAGCGUACAACGUUGCACGAGGAAAUGAGAAAGGCGAGAUUUGUCAGAGCGCUCAAAACGAAGAGCUUGAACCAACUGAAGGAGGUAGCACUGAAGCUCUUCAUCAUCAGCUUUUUCUAGAACACUAACGGCAUAGGCACGAACCUCUUCACUCUCAAAAACAGGAGAUAGAAGUUCCAGUGCAUCACAUAGGUCAAUUGAUUCCCACUUGUGCAUCAG
This 236-nucleotide unclassified non-coding RNA is filed under the name Hevea brasiliensis (rubber tree). The record is from RNAcentral. Lineage: Eukaryota; Viridiplantae; Streptophyta; Magnoliopsida; Malpighiales; Euphorbiaceae.